UGACUAACACCGUGAUGACUACUCGGGUGUCUGGAUGCUAAAGAAUCACUUGAAUACUACAGACUGUCCUACUACAUUAGGGUUAUARGGCUCAAACUCCCAUGAUUCCAUUCGGCAAAACCACUCCCACCGUCAACGAUGAAGUUGCAGCUCCAAAGCGUUGUUUCCUAUUAAACACAGCCCACCAAACGCUGCGGAGCUAGGACAACCGCAAGUCGCAAAUGGGCAAAAGGAGUCACUCGCACAAGAUGGAAUACCACUCUGGAAAUGGUGAAGCGUGUCCACAGAAACCAACAACCACUGUGAGAUGCUCUGGCACAGCUGAACUGGAGAAACUGCAGAAGCUGGAGGCACUACUGGAGCCCUGCAGGUACAAGACUGACUGUCUGGUAGGAGAGAAGUACAUUUCCUGCUCAGUGGUGUAGCCUGUCUUGUGCCAUUUCUCUGGGUGAUGGAGAGCUUGAUGAUGACCCUGCCUACGUGUCAGAUUC
Molecule: long non-coding RNA, 491 nt
Organism: Salvelinus sp. IW2-2015
Lineage: Eukaryota; Metazoa; Chordata; Actinopteri; Salmoniformes; Salmonidae
Source: RefSeq, a predicted model, not a curated record